This 267-nucleotide ribosomal RNA is filed under the name uncultured bacterium. RNAcentral's name for it is "partial 16S ribosomal RNA". It matches the Rfam family "Bacterial small subunit ribosomal RNA", at positions 793 to 1055 of the family's 1533-position model. The record is from RNAcentral.
GUCCACGCCGUAAACGAUGAGUGCUAGGUGUCGGCGAGCAUGCUCGUCGGUGCCGCAGCUAACGCAUUAAGCACUCCGCCUGGGGAGUACGGCCGCAAGGUUAAAACUCAAAGGAAUUGACGGGGGCCCCGCACAAGCGGUGGAGCAUGUGGUUUAAUUCGACGCAACGCGCAGAACCUUACCAGCCCUUGACAUGCCUGUCGCGGGGACGAGAGAUCGCCCCCUUCGGUUCGGCCGGACAGUGCACAGGUGCUGCAUGGCUGUCGU